AUUGAACGCUGGCGGCAGGCCUAACACAUGCAAGUCGAACGAGUGGCGGACGGGUGAGUAAUGUCUGGGAAACUGCCCGAUGGAGGGGGAUAACUACUGGAAACGGUUGCUAAUACCGCAUACCAUCGGAUGUGCCCAGAUGGGAUUAGCUUGUGGGUGAGGUAACGGCUCACCUAGGCGACGAUCCCUAGCUGGUCUGAGAGGAUGAUCAGCAACACUGGAACUGAGACACGGUCCAGACUCCUACGGGAGGCAGCAGUGGGGAAUAUUGGGCAAUGGGCGAAAGCCUGAUGGAGCGAUGCCGCGUGUGUGAAGAAGGUCGUCGGGUUGUAAAGUUCUGUCGGUGGGGAGGCGGUACCCGAAGAAGAAGCACCGGCUAACUCCGUGCCAGCAGCCGCGGUAAUAC
Molecule: ribosomal RNA, 406 nt
Filed under: uncultured bacterium
Lineage: Bacteria
Description: partial 16S ribosomal RNA
Rfam family: Bacterial small subunit ribosomal RNA
Source: RNAcentral